Molecule: ribosomal RNA, 460 nt
Filed under: uncultured bacterium
Lineage: Bacteria
Description: partial 16S ribosomal RNA
Rfam family: Bacterial small subunit ribosomal RNA
Source: RNAcentral
CGUACGGGGGGCAGCAGUGAGGAAUAUUGGUCAAUGGGCGGAAGCCUGAACCAGCCAAGUAGCGUGCAGGAUGACGGCCCUCCGGGUUGUAAACUGCUUUUAUACGGGAAUAACGAGCCUUACGUGUAGGGCUUUGCAUGUACCGUAUGUAUAAGGACCGGCCCAUUCCGUGCCAGCAGUCGCGGUAAUACGGAGGGUCCGUGCGUUAUCCGGAUUUAUUGGGUUUAAAGGGAGCGUAGGCGGCAUGUCAAGCGUGCUGUGAAAUGUCCGGGCUCAACCCGGGCCUUGCAGCGGUAACUGGCGUGCUUGAGUCCGCGGAAAGCAGGCGGAAUUCGGCGUGUAGCGGUGAAAUGCUUAGAUAUGACGAAGAACCCCGAUUGCGAAGGCAGCUUGCUGCAGCGGAACUGACGCUGAUGCUCGAAAGCGCGGGUAUCGAACAGGAUUAGAUACCCGAGUAGUC